GCCAGCCGGGCGGAAGGGCGGGGCUUGCGGCGGAAGUCCCACCUCCUGUCGGGUCACGUGAGGGGCUGGACGCGAGAGUAGGAAUCAUGGCACUCUGGCGGGCAUACCAGCGAGCCCUGACUGUUCACCCGUGGAAAGUACAGGUCCUGACAGCUGGGUCCCUGAUGGGCCUGGGUGACAUUAUCUCACAGCAGCUGGUGGAGAGGCAAGGUCUGCGGGAACACCAGACUGGCCGGACCCUGACCAUGGUCUCUGUGGGCUGUGGCUUUGUGGGCCCCGUAGUGGGAGGCUGGUACAGGGUUUUGGACCGGCUCAUCCCUGGCACCACCAAGGUAGAUGCGCUGAAGAAGAUGCUGUUGGAUCAGGGGGGCUUUGCCCCUUGUUUUCUAGGCUGUUUCCUCCCACUGGUAGGAGCACUCAACGGACUGUCAGCCCAGGACAACUGGGCCAAGCUGCGGCGGGACUAUCCUGAUGCCCUCAUCACCAACUAUUAUGUAAGCGAUGACACCGCCCCUGCCCGUCCUGCUUUCUUGAGUCCAGACGUGCCCGGGAUGGGGGUCCUCCUGACAUAGAAGCCCCUCCGUUGGGAUGAGUGGGCACCACACUCAGGGAAGCACUCAGCUGCUCACCUUGUUCUUGUCUGCAGAAGUCGGAGUGAGACCAGGCAACUGGCCGUUGUCCAGUGUGUGGCUGUUCUCUGGAAUUCCUACCUGUCCUGGAAGGCUCACCGGCUCUAGGCCCGCCUCACUCCAUUGCCUGCACUUGUGGGGAUGCCGCUUGACCCUGGAGCCACCAGACAGCCUCCUCAGAGUGGGCACAUCAGCCUUCCUGGGGUUCCGUGCCACUCAGAACUUAAUGGGCUUUGCACCCGCCUCCUCUUGAAACCAUUAAAACCCUUCUAAUGAUUUUGUACAACCACCACCAUAAACGUUCGUUGUACUGUA
RNA transcript from Leopardus geoffroyi (Geoffroy's cat), 944 nucleotides. It is a transcript of the gene named mitochondrial inner membrane protein MPV17, with no coding region annotated. The record is from RefSeq and is a predicted model, not a curated record. The transcript is spliced from 7 exons. NCBI's taxonomy places the organism in Eukaryota, Metazoa, Chordata, Mammalia, Carnivora, Felidae.